Long non-coding RNA from Oreochromis aureus, 752 nucleotides. RefSeq lists it as uncharacterized. Lineage: Eukaryota; Metazoa; Chordata; Actinopteri; Cichliformes; Cichlidae. The transcript is spliced from 2 exons. The record is from RefSeq and is a predicted model, not a curated record.
GCGUCAGUGUACCGCGUGGGGCACGUGUGACUCGCGAAAGAAAACCACGCGCGUCAGGUUGUGUGUUGCAUUUUGUGCACACGCUGAGUUGGAAAAUAUGAACUCCGGUGUCAAAUCACGCCCCGACAACCAAUCAGGAGCCUGGUGACGUGGCUGUAACUAGGUCAAAGGGGCAGAUCCAGUCACCCCGUAUGGAGGAAAAGCUCAUCUGUGCCGUGGCUAAUCAUCCAGAGCUAAAUGAUGCAUGUUGCUACUUCUACCGAGACAGGAAUAAAACGGACCUAGCUUGGAGGCACAUUAGUGAGGAGAUUGGGCAACCUGGUAAGUUCAUUCAUUCUGCUUUUUAAUUUCCAGACUGACCCAAUGAAACCGUGCAAAAGCUAGCAAGCCCACCUACUGUCCUGAUAUUUUCCCACUGAUGUACAAAUACCUUUCCGCUAACAAGAUAAUGUGUUUAUUCAGAGGACAUCUGCAGCACAACACAUCUGGCACAACUUCCUCCCACAUUUCCGGUUCACGUGCGUGGAAACAUGCAAUUUUGAGGCGCGGUGGAUUUUCCCUGGACACGCGUUGAGGUGCAAAUGUGCACGCGUGACAUUAGGGGCGUUUGGGCGUUUUCGCUCGCCUCUUUCGCGUCCGGUGUGAACGCACCGUAAGGCUUCCGCUCCUCACAGCGCGCGUUUGCACUGUGAGGGAGCUACAAUUGCUGUACCACCAGAAGACACCUGUUAAGUGUUUUCUGUCUUCUGCAG